GCGGAUUAUCUGUGUGCAUAUAAAUACCAUAGUACACUCUAGUGCCAUGCUGGGGAUGACAACCUAGUAUUGAAGUGGUGUUAGCAAGUGUCAACACUCUCCUUAAAAGAGCUCAAAGAAAAACAUGAUAAACUUGAGAGUGUGCAUGAUGAGCUUAUCACUAGAUAUAGAGCUUCGAAGGAACAGCUUGCAACUCUAAAAGCAAACUAUGACAACCUUGAGAUAGCUUAUUGUUGACGAUCCUUAAGUACUAAAUUUAACCGUCAACUAAACAUGGAAAAGGAUCAAUAUGUACCAAACAUCUAGAAUUAGGGUUUUAUCUGACAGAAUUCCACGAGCUUUGGUGUGUGUCUAUUUCUACAGGGGGUUUUCAGAAAAUAUGGAGAGAAGGCCCACAUGUCAGGUUUACAACGAGAUAACUACGUGUCGUGCAAAUUUCUUUAAUCUAGAAGAGUCCAGAAGCCACAGGAAUGAACGGGAGGCCGAUCGGGCCCGGGUGCAGGGCGCCCUCCCUCCCCCUUGGGCGCCUGCCCUGCCCUGGUGGCCAAUCAGAGCAGGUCUCGCGGAUCGUGCUCCACCGCCUCUAAUCUUCAAGAAUAACCGUGCGAUCAAUGUCGGUUUGAUCCGAUGGCCCAAAUUCAUCUGAGGGGGCUAUAUAAGCAAGGCCUCUCCACCCCAGGGGAGUAGGAGAAAUCAAUAUCAGAGGAAGCCAUCAAAGUUAGGGUUUAGGAACUUCUCUCCCACAGAGAAUUAGAAUUACCUACUCCCAAUUCCUUCAAGUUCUAUAGGAUUGAUUAGAUAGAAUUAGAGAAGUAGAGCCUAGCGCUCUGGAUUAUGGAUCUUCAUCAAUAAAGAUUGGUAUUAUUUUAUCUUUCUCUACUACUUUAUUCUAAUUACAUUAUGUCUCUAUUUAUUAUGUUCUUAGUUUACUCUAGUCCUAUAUUUGAUAUAGUUAUGAUUGAUAAUGAGUUUAUGUAUAAGUUUGCAAAACGCUUAGCUCUUGACGCGCGGGAGUUAAGUGGUAGAUCACAUGUGGGCGUGGUGCUUAGAUGUUAUUUACCUGCAAAUGUAUCCUAUUGGCUGGGUCAUGUGGUAGUUCGCGAUAGUGACAGCUUCGUUGAUUCUUAUAUAGUCCACCCACCGUUGAUAGGACAGGCAGAAUUUGUAUUGCGGAGUAAGUCUUGCGAUGUUCUGAUUUACUUUAGCAAUGUUCCUUAUACAUGAAUGAAGAGUCUUUUAUGCUAUAUAUGAUCUUGAGAUAAAUAGAGUAGAUUAUGACUUAGUAGGUAGUAGAUUACUUAGAAUCCAUUCUCUAGCUAAUCCGACGUCACCUUACAUAUAUGAGGAGUAGUCUAUUUUCUCAUCGCUGUGUUAUUUACCCAUGAGCUUAUAUUUCAUUGUCAUUAUUAUUAUGGCUUACCCCUUGCCAAAGCAAGUGACUGUGUGACGAGUUUAUCAUUAGUAAUCAUGUUCUUACAAGAUUAUCUCUAGUCUAUGCCUUGAUAGAUUUUACCCCUGUUUUCACUUUCACCCUUCUCUUACGCAAAAUUAUAAAUAACAAUACCCGGAAUACUUUCCUAGUGAAAUGCUACAAUGAGGUUUUUUAUCUAUGCGCUUGCGGAUAGAAUAGAUUAUUUUCUAGAGAGCCUUUACAUUCAUAAAUACCUUUGUACACUCUGGCACCAUGCUGGGGAUGACAACCUAGUAUCCAAGUGGUGUUAGUAAGUAUCAACAAGCAUUUCUGGCGCCGUUGCCGGGGAGACGGUAAGAAAAGUCACGAAGUCAGUCAAGGUUAUUCACAUAAAAUAUUAGACUAGACUAUGGAGAAAUAAUUGCAUAAAACAGCUACUAAGUGAGAAAUCAUAACAAGGCACCUCUGCUUUGGCAGGUUCACCCUGUUGUUUUUUUCUAUGUUUAUAUUUUUAUACAGGGUAUAUCAGGAUUGACUUUGGUACAUUCAACUCUUCAUCAUCAGAACCAAAGCAAUCAAGAAAGAAAGAAGAAGCUACCUAACAAUUGCUGAAGAUAUGGCACAAAAGACCUUGCAAGAAUUCUGUGCUCCAAGUCUUAAGAACAUUCCAAGUGGUCCAAGAUUUGCACUAGAAGAAGGAGCACCCGAGUUCGAGCUCAAGUCAAGCCUCAUCAAUUUGUUACAAGCUACACAAUUCAGUGGAAAGGCACAUGAAGAUGCUAGUGCACACUUGCAGAAUUUCUUAGAGAUUGGAAGCACAAUCCGUAUCAAUGGAGUCGACAAAGACGUCAUACUGCUUCGCCUCUUUCCAUUCUCACUAGAAGGGAAAGCAAGGAAGUGGUUCUACACCCAUCAAGAUAACAUCAACAACUGGAUGAACUUGUUAGAUGCCUUUCUAUCAAAGUUUUUCAUUAUAGGAAAAACAGCUGCCUUAAGAGUAAAUAUUGUCAGUUUCCAACAACAGAAGACAAAAACCAUUCCUGAAGCAUGGGAGCGCUUUCAAGGAUAGAUAUCAGAUUGUCUGCACCAUGGAAUGGCUAAAUGGUUACUUAUGCAGACCUUCUACCAUGGAUUAACCCAGAAGGCUCGUGAAUGCCUAGAUGCAUCUGCUAAGGGAUCAUUUUUGGAGCUUACAAUUGGAAAAGCAGAGAUACUUUUGGACAAUAUAGCAGAAAACCAAAGCUGGUUCCAAGAUAAAGCUCUGCUUUGUCAUCAAACUGAAGAAAUACCAGAAGAAGUAAAUGCACUAUCAACCAAGAUGGAAAAUUUGCUUCAUUGGAUUCACCAGAGGGCCAAGUUCAAAGAAGAUCAAAGGGCCAGUGAGACAGUAUACAAAUAUCAAGCUACUUUGAGUCAACCAGUAGCAAAGGUAUGAAUUCAGGUAACACUUUCAAGCAACUUUCAUUAAAAGAGAUAAUUUCUCAAUAAACCAAAACUAAUGAUGAAGUUAAACAAAGGCUAGAUACCAAUGAAUCAACACCAAAAAAUAUACACAAUAAAAUGGAUUUUCUAUUAACUGCCUUUGAUGAGCAAAACACUCUUAAUAAAAGGGUAGAGCUUAAAUUAAUAAAGCUAGCUGCUGCAUUGCCUGUUGCCACUAACAUUGAGCAGGUAAAGAACAUAACUACUAGGGGAGGCAAAGCCACUAGGGAUCCCCCAUACCCAAAAGAGAAACAGAGAACAUCAGCACCAGUGCAACCAGCAGGGAUUGAAGAAGAAAACCCAAUUGAAGCAGAAGAUCUGCUACAACCACCAAGUACUGGAGAAAUGAGGAAAGAUUUUUACGACACCAACUAUUUGCCAUUUCCAAAAGAAACAGAGGAUUACGGUCGGAUGAGUAGUUUGGUAAGUUUGUAGAGGUCAUUCAGAAAUUUUAUGUCAACAUACCUCUACUUGAUGCCAUACAGGUACCCACAUAUGCAAAGUACAUGUUGGCUAUUCUUAACGUCAUUACCAAAAGUAGACUUAGUUUUCUAAUUCUGAUAACGGCGCCAAAAAUGCCAAACCUAUCUAUCAUACCACUUAAGCCAAGUUGUCAUCCCCACCAUGACAUAAGAGACGCGGUAUUGAAAUAUGCAAUUGCUCAUCUAAAUAAAUAACAAAUGGGAUCUGCAAGCGCACAGAUUAAUACCGAUGUAGCAUUUUAACCGUGAAGUAUUCCAGGUAUCGUUAUUUAUAUUUUUACCACUGGGAAGGGAUUAGCAAUCAUCAAUGUUGAUUAUAGAAUGGAAUAUAAGAUUGAGUAUCUAUCAUUGCAUGUAUAAUUGAGAACAUUUAUCUAACUCUUUCAUACAGGGAUAAGUGCCACAUAAAGGAUAUAAAGUAAUGAAUAGUGAGAAAGAUAAUUAAUCUGAUCAGCAUAACUUAGCCACAUAUAAAUAUGAUAAGCACCUCAAUUAGAUAUUCUAGCAAGUCAUUAGCAUGGAAUUAGGAUGAAAUAUAAGAAUAUUUCCUAAGUUAUUCUUAACUAUACAAUCUAGCAUAUCAUAGUUAGUGUAAUUAUACUUAGCAAUCAUUGUGAGACACGACUACGCCCAUGCAUAGUGAUAUUAGCAAGGAAUAUGAGAAACAUCACAAUCACUCCCCUGUAAUAAUGUUGCUCUGCCAGCCCAAUACACGAGAGGGGGACUAUAUAAGAAUCAAUGGAGUUGUCACUACCACGAACUACCCCGCUAUGUGGCAUAUAGGGUACAAUUGUAGAUAAAUACGGUAUAAGCACCACGCCUACACAAUAUCUAUGAUUUACCCAUGGAUCCAAUGGAUAAACGCUAUACGAUCCUAAGCAUGUAUAUAGAUCCAAUCUAACUAAGACAAGUAUAUAACUAUGAUAAACUAAGAACAAUAUAAUUGCGAAUAUAAAAAAGUAGAGUAAAGUCAUAACGAAUAUAUUGAAGUAGAACAAAGUCAUAUUCAUAAUAUCGAAGAACAAAGAUGAACAAUUGAAGAACAAUAGAGAAUUACCAAGAAUCCUCUUGAGAGAUCCGGAAACCAAUCGAAGAUUGACUCCUUCUAGUUCUAAUCCUAUGUAGCUAUGCUAAUUUAGAUAUCUAAUUGAUGUGGUUGCUCUAGGGCUUGAUCAGAGGCUUCUUCUCCCUUGAUGAAUAAUGAAUUAGGGUUGGAGGUCCCCUCCUCCAGGGGCGAGGGGGUAUGGUUUUAUAGUCCUUCCAAGUUAAUAUGGGCCGUCGGAUCAAACCGACAUUGAUUGAACGGUUAUCCUUGAUCCUUUUGGAGCGUAAUCCCAAAAGAGAGUCCUGAUUGGACUCCAGAGGGGGGCGGGCGCCCUGGGAUAGGCCCGGUUCUGCCUCCGCUUCGUUCCCGUGGCUUCUGGAGUCUUCUAGAUGUAAGAUAAUUGCGCGGUACGUUAAUAUCUCUAUGUAAUCCCGACGUGUGGGCCUUUCUUCCGUAUUUCCUGAUAACCCCUUGCAGAAAUAGACAAACACUAAAACUCGUGGAAUUCUGUCAGAUAAAACCCUAAGUUUGGAUGUUGAUUUUAUUUGGAUCCUUUUCUUUGUUUAUUUGAUAAUUAAAUUUGAUACUUAAGGACCGUCAACAAACUCCCCCAAGCUUACCUCUUGCUCGUCCCUAAGCAAGGAUAAUCUCAGUGAUGGAUCAGAAGUUGUUAUAAUGCCUUUAAAAAUUGACGGUACACAUGCUUUUAAAUAAGAUCUCAUCUCUGAGUUAGAGUAAACUAUCAUGACUUAAAACUUAUUCAUUUUACCUUUCACCAUGGGACUUGUAACCGUCACUUCUGUCUUGAGUAGUUAAAAGAUAGAACAGUCUAGUCAAGUGCCAUGUCUCUUAUUCAUGAUUAGCUAUAGCUCUAAAGUUUUUUGCAGAUUUUCAAAUAAAACUCAGAGAUUCCUUAUAUGACUAUCUCAGAUCUCUCUUUUGUGGUAUUUGUGGAUCCUUACCAAGGCAGUGAUGGUAUAUGCCUUCUCUCAAAAUAUAUAGUAUUUGUGGUAUAAGGCAUAGUGAUAUUGCCUUCUCUCUCAUCCUAUUCUAAUAAGUCUUUAAUAUCUGGAGCUCAUAGGUGGGAGAUAAAGUAUACAUACUCACAAGACAUUUAUUGUAUAGUCAAACCAUGGAUCCAAAGAAACAAAUCAAUAAGUCAAAUCAAGAUGUGCUUGUGUGGCGAAUGAAUGGUGUAUGGUGAUGAUGGUGAUAACAAUGGUGAAAGUCUAAUUCUACUUUUGCUCUUUGAGGGGAUACAUACCUUCCUUGCUCUUUGAAACUUUCUGAGGAGAAUGAGAUGCUCUCUCUUUUCUUUUUCUUUCCUCUCAGGUGGGUAUCUUGUACCCCUAAUUCUACUAUCGGACACUUGUCCAUUUUUACCUCUCGUCUCACUUUUUUCUUUUCUUUCGAGGUUCUGGGCACUUGCCCCUUUUUAUCUCCUCGUAUCUUCUUUUUUUAGAGCACUCAUCUCCUGAAAUAAUAUAGCAAGUGGUAGUAACAAGAUAACUUGAGCAUUUAUUUCACAGGGGAAAGCAUAAAUGUUUUUGGCUAUUCUCUCCCGGAUUAGGAGUAGAAUAUUUUUGGGUGGUUAUGGAGAUGGAAAUGGGUGGAUAUAUGUGGAUGCGUACUUCCGGAGUAGAAGCAGCAUGUGUGAGUGAACGUGCAAGUGAGUCUUGAUUUAACCACAUGACAAGCUCCUAAGGGUCUACACAGCUUGACCACACUCAAUGCUUAUAAGCAGUAAAGUAAAUGUGUAGCUCAAAGUCUAGCAAGCAUGUAUAUAUGGCUGUGGUAGGAAUUUAAACUCUCAUCAUACAAGAACUCAUCAUGCAACAUUUGAAAGGUUUUCAAAGAUAAAAUUCUCCAGAAUUCUAGCAUCUCUAGGAACAGAUAAACAGCAGCUCAACCUUCCCAUAUCAUAUCCGUUAACAACCUAGACUUCAGAUCAAGUUUUCUUCCCACAAGUUUAGGUUUAGAGCAAGCUUUCAAUUAUAACAGUUAUGUCUAAACUUAAGAGAGAACUUCAAAAAUUUAAAAAAAAUUAGGCAGAGCAACUAUUAUAUCCAUUCUAGAGUUUUAUUAUUAAGAUUCAGUUUAGCAUAGCUACUUUAUUUAUUUAUUAAGCACACUAAGCAAAAGAUAUAUAUAUAUAUAUAUAUAUAUAUAUAUAUAUAUAUAUAUAUAAGCACAAAAUUUUUAUUUAUUUUUUCAUAGUUAUGCAUAUUUAUAUUUUAAUAUAGUAUAUGUAUAAAGAUAGAUAGAAAUACUUAGCGGGAUAAAUGGGGGUCCUCUCCUCCAAGCAAAAUUUUGACGUAAUUUCUUUUGAUGUAGCUAGCAGGUGGCAGAGGUGUAUUUGAAAGUCGGCAGCACCCUAACAGCGUUUAGAAUGUCCUCCGUUUGCUAGUCUUCUUGAUUCUUAAAUUCUGUGGAGCUCAAAUAGACAACAAAGCUUUGUGGAACUGAUUAGGUGUUAGCACGAAUAUUUAGCCUUUAUCAUGUUGAGACUCCUUAAUAAAUAUUACUCCCUAUUUUUAUAUUUUCAUUUUAUAGAGCAAAAAAAAAUAUUUAUUUUAUUUUUAUGCCACCACAGUGAAUGUACUUAUGGGUUUCAUGCCACUCGUAUACUCACAUAGGGCUUAUUGUUUUUUAACAUUUUUAUUUUCUUUUAGGAUAGUAUGAACAUGAUUAACUAAGCAAAUUGUUUAAAAUAAUUAAAAGGAAAGUAUAACUACCAAGUUUACCUCUUGGCAAGACGUUUGGUGUUUUUAACUCCUCCGAACGGUACUCUCUGUUUUCUAGUUGUCCUCAAGUUCAUUGGGUGGCGUAGUCGGUGCUUCCGGCGGCGCCUCUUCUUCGUGUAUAGUUAUCUUCUCUCUCCACACCUGACUCGGUGCUACGGUCUCCUCUAGAUAAUUCUGUUUAAGCUGUAUGUCUUCUGAUCUUAUCACUUCUCCUUCGUAGUCUGCCCAUCCGUCCUUGAUGAUUUGCCUCCUCUGGUUGCGGUUGCGUUGUUUUCUUCUUGUCCUGGCCUGCUUAGAGUCUUCAACUAUAUAGUUAGGGUCAGUAAAAUAGCGGUGUACCUUCUCUGAGGGGAAGUGCAUAUGGACUUCUCUAGUUCCAAUGUAGAUGAUUGCUUUAACGGUGUUGAGGAACGGUCUUCCAAGGAUGAUGGGUGGAUCAUAUUCAUCUUCUCCCAUGUCAAUAACCUGAAAGUCUGUGUAGACAAAAUGAUCGUCUAUUUUGACAGGGACAUCAGUUACUAUACCUUUAACCUCUCGAAAUGUCUAAUCUGCCAUCUGGAGCUGAAUGUAUGUUGGUUUUAGGGGCAUGGUUCCGAACAAGAGCCGAUAGGUGACUGCGGCCAUUAUGUUGACGCCCGAUCCGGUGUCGCAAGUCGUCUUGUAGAAGUUGUAUCCAUUUAUGGAGCAAUAGAUGCUUGGCAUUCCUGGGUCGUCCUUCUUGGGGUAGAAACAGUGACUUAAGUCGAUGAUCUUGUCCUUCAUGAACUGCAGUGACCAUCUUAGCUGACUCGGUCCACACUUGCUUGUUCCUAUUCCUCCUGUUGGUCCUUUUCGUUGAUUCAUGUCGGGAUUGCUCCGGGAUUUGUGUAGUCUUGUUCUUGAAGGAAAACGUCUCCUUCCUCCCUUUGAUGUAGAAACUGAUCUUGGCAGCACUAGCGUAGAUGACAGCUUCCGAGGUGUUUAAGAAUGGCCUCCCUAAGAUGAUGGGUGCCCUCUCAUCAUUACCGGUCUCUAUCACCAAGAAGUCUGCUGGGGCGUACAAGGUACCGACUCAGACACAGAGGUUCUUCAAUAUUCCUUUUGGAAAACUUAUCGUCUGAUCUGCAAACUGCAAACAUAUGGUUGUUUCUAAUAAAUGAUAUGUAAACUUUUUUUCAUAGAGUACCCUGGGCAUAAUGUUGAUGUUGGAGCCAAAGUCGCAGAGUGCUUCUGGGAAGUCCACCAUGCCGAUGGAGAUCGGGAUGACGGGGCGUCCUGGAUCACCUCUCUUGACCGGUAGAAGGUCAGUAGUAACUUCAGUGAUGGAGUUACUCUAGUAAUUACCUGCAUCAAACAUGUCUACAAGAUUGGCAGAUUCUAAUCCUUCCGGUUGUGAUGGUAUACCGGGGUUAGUAGCAGGAACAGCAGCAGCUAUCUGAUUUAACUGAGAUUCAAUCAUCUUAUUAAAGCUAAUUUGAUUCUUGAUGGCAGCAGAGAAAUUAUCCAUUCUAUUAUUUAUAUUUUCUAGCAUUUUAUCAUUGGAUGCCAAUUUAUUAGAUAGGUUAUCCAUUAGCUUUCCUUGAUUAGACACUAACUCUCUCACAGGUGGAAAAUUAUUAUUAUUGUAAGAAUUGUCACCUUGAUAAUUACCUGAGUAGUUAGGCCUCUGUUGAUUCCAACCUUGAUUUUGUUGAGGACGGUUGUAAUAGUAGUUGUUGUUAUUGUUGAUGCAGUUCACAUCCUCAAGCAUCUUAGGGCAGUGAUUGCCUGAGUGUCCAGUAUCUCCACACUCCUCACAAGUCAUGUGAGAGUCGUAGAUGUGCAUAACUUCUUUCUUGUCUCUAGCUCUAUCAUCGACCUUCUUCAUGAGCAGGUCUAGCUUGGCACACAGCAUGCCUACCUCCUUGAGCUGAUGCAUACCUCCACCUUUCUUGCGUGUCUGGGUCCUCUCUUCAUUCCAGCCUUGCUUGGACGCCAUCUUCUCUACAAGAGCUGUGGCUUGUGAUAUGGUAAGUGAUAGGAAUGCUCCUCCAGCUGCAGCAUCCAUGGUCUCUCGGGCACUAUUGCCGAGCCCAUGAUAAAACGUCUGCAUCAGUAGCCAACUCUCCAUUCCAUGAUGGGGACAUUCUAGGAUGUAGUCUUAGAAGCGCUCCCAUGCUUCUAGAACGGAUUCAUCAUGUUGUUGCUGAAAACUUGUAAUCUUCCCACGGAGAGCAUUGGUCUUGCCCAUGGGAAAGAACUUAGCCAGAAAGUUCGUGGAGCACGUAGUAUUCUUCUCCUUUGUAGCGUAGAACCACUGCUUCUCUCUUCCUAACCGUGAGAAUGGGAAGAGGCGAAGUAGUAUAGCAUCUCUGGGGACUCCUGAUAUGGUGAAUGUGCUGCAAAUCUCCAGAAAGCGUUGGAGAUGAGCACUAGCAUCUUCGUGUGCCUUCCCACAUAACUGAUUGGAUUGUAUCAUGUUGAUAAGUCCAGGCUUGAGUUCAAAGUUGCCAUCGAUUUGUUCUCCAUGGCUUCGAACUCUAAAGACAAGUUCUGGUGAUCUUCUUGAUUGGAUGAAGCUUCUUGCUGAAGUGUUGAUGAUCUCUUCUUGAGCUUGGCUCUUGUUUUUCUGAAUAAUGCUUCGGGAUUGUGAAAAAAAUUUCCUAAAAGAUGUCUUCUAUUCAUACAUUACCCUGCAUAAGAUAAAAUAGAGAAAUAUCGGGGUAAAACUGUAUGAGAGAAUUGAUAAGCUCAAUCAUAUUAGUGAUGCGAAUGAUAACUCAAAAUUCUAUAUUCAUUCCUGAUUAGUAAUUAACCUUCCCCGGCAACGUUGCCAAAAAUGCUUGUUGGGUAUUCUUAACGUCAUUACCAAAAGUAGACUUAGUUUUCUAAUUUUGAUAACUGUUGGAUAUUCUUAACAUCAUUACCAAAAGUAGACUAAGUUCUCUAAAUCUAGUAACGGUGCCAAAAAUGCCAAACCUAUCCCUCACACCACUUAAGCCAAGUUGUCAUCUCCAGCAUGAUAUAAGAGACGUGGUAUUGAAAUAUGCAAUUUCUCUUCUAAAUAAAUAAUGAAUGGGAUCUGCAAGCGCACAGAUUAAUACCGAUGCAGCAUUUUAACCGGGAAGUAUUCCAGGUAUCGUUAUUUAUAUUUUUACCACUGGGAAGGGAUUAACAAUCAUCAAUAGUGAUUACAGAAUAGAAUAUGAGAUUGAGCAUCUAUCAUUGCAUGUAUAAUUGAGAACAUUAUAUCUAACUUUUCAUACAGGGAUAAGUGUCACAUAAAGGAUAUAUGAAAUAAUAAUAGUGACAAGGAUAACUAAUUUGAUCUAGCCACAUAAUAAAUAUGAUAAGCACCUCAAUUAGAUACUCUAGAAAGUCAUUAGCAUGGUAUUAGAACGAACUACAAGAAUAUUCCCGAAGUUAUUCUCAACUAUAUAGUCUAGCAUAUCAUAGUUAGUGCAAGCAUACUUAGCAAUCAUUGCGAGACAAGACUACGCCCAUGCAUAGUGAUAUUAGCAAGGAAUAUGAGAAACAUAGCAAUCACUCCCCUGUAAUAAUGUUGCUCUGCCAGCCCAAUACACGAGAGGGGGACUAUAUAAGAAUCAAUGAAGCUGUCACUAUCACGAACCACCCCACGAUCUGGCAAAUUGGGUACAAUCGCAGAUAAAUACGGUAUAAGCACCACGCCUACACAAUAUCUAUCAUUUACCCAUGGAUCCGAUGGAUAAACGCUAUACGAUCCUAAGCAUGUAUAUAGAUCCAAUCUAACUAAGCCAAGUACAUAACUAUGAUAAACUAAGAACAAUAUAAUCUUGAAUAUAAGCAAGUAGAGCAAAGUCAUAAGCAAUAUAUUGAAGUAGAACAAAGUCAUAUUCAUAAUAUUGAAGAACAAAGAUAAUUAGAAAGCAAUUAGAAGCACAAUUAGAGAAUUACCAAGAAUCCUCCUGACAGAUCUGGAAACCAAUCGAAGAUUGACUCCUUCUAGUUCUAAUGCUAUGUAGCUAUGCUAAUCUAGAUAUCUAAUUGAUGUGGUGGCUCUAAUCUUGAUCAGAGGCUUCUUCUCCCUUGAUGGAACAAUGAAUUAGGGUUGAGAGGCUCUCUCCUCCAGGGGCCAGGGGGUCUGGUUUUAUAGUCCCUUCAAGUGAAUAUGGGCCGUUGGAUCAAACCGACAUAGAUUGUAUGGUUUAGAUUCAUCCUUUAGGUCGGUGGAAAUCUCCCGCAAAGCAGAGUCCUGAUUGGACUCAGGAGGUGGGCGGGCGCCCUGACCAAAUGGGCGGGCGCCCAGGGUUAGGCCCCGUUUCGCCUCCGCUUCGGUCUCGUGGCUUCUGGAGUCUUCUAGAUGUAAGAUAAUUGCGCGGCACGUUAAUAUCUUUACGUAAUCCCGACGUGUGGGCCUUUCUUCCGUAUUUCCUGAUAACUCCCUGCAGAAAUAGACAAACACCAAAACUCGUGGAAUUCUGUCAGAUAAAACCCUAAGUCUAGAUCUUGAUUUCAUUUGGAUCCUUUUCUUUAUUUAUUUGAUAAUUAAAUUUGAUACUUAAGGACCGUCAACAAACUCCCCCAAGCUUACCUCUUGCUCGUCCCUGAGCAAGGAUAGACGCAGCUAUGGAUCAUAAGUUGUUGCAAUAUCUUUAAAAAUUGACGGUACACAUGCUUUUUAAAUAAGAUCUCAUCUCUAAGUUAGAGUAAACUGUCAAGACUUAAAACUUACUUACUUUACCUUCACUACGGGACUUGUAACCGUCACUUCUGUCUUAAGUGGUUAAAAGAUAAAACAGUCUAGUCAAGUGCCAUGUCUCUUAUUCUUGAUCAGCUAUAGCUCUGGGUUUUUUUUUUUGCAGAUUUUCAAAUAAAACUCAGAGAUUCCUUGUAUGAUUCUCUCAGGUCUAUCUUUUGUGGUAUUUCUGGAUCCUUACCAAGCCAGUGAUGGUAUAUGCCUUCUCUCAAGUUAUGUAGUAUUUGUGGUAUAAGGCAUAGUGACAUUGCCUUCUCUCUCACCCUACUCUAAUAAGGCUUUAAUAUCUGGAGCUCAUAGGUGGGAAAUAAAGUAUACAUACUUACAAGACAUGUAUUGCAUAGUCAAACCAUGGAUCCAAAGAAACAAGCCAAUGAGUUUAAUCAAGAUGUGCAUGUGUGGCGAAUGAAUUAUAUAUGGUGAUGAUGGUGAUAACAAUGGUGAAAACAAUGGUGGUGGAAGUCUAAUUCUACUUUGCUCUUUGAGGGGAUACAUACCUUCCUUGCUUUUUAAAACUUUAUGAGGAGAAUGAGAUGCUCUUCUUUUUCUUUUCUCUCAGGUGGGUAUCUUGCACCCCUAAUUCUACCGUCGGACACUUGUCCAUUUUUACCUCUCGUCUCACCCUCUCUUUUCUUUCGAGGUUCCGAGCACUUGCUCCUUUUUAUUUCCUCGUGUUUCUCUUCUUCUUUUUUCAGAACAUUCAUCUCUUGAGAUAAUAUAGCAAGUGAUAGUAACAAGAUAACUUGAGCAUUUAUUUCACAAGGGAAAACAAAAAUAUUUUUGGUUAUUCUCUCCUGGAUUAGGAGUAGAAUAUUUUUAGGUGGUUCUGGAGAUGGAAAUGGAUGGAUAUAUGUGGAUGGUACUUCCGGAGUAGCAUAUAUGAGUGAACGUGCAAGUGAAAUCUUGAUUUAACCACAUGACAAGUUCCUAAGGGUCUACACAGCUUGACCACACUCAAUGCUCAUAAGCAGUAAAUAGUAAAUGUGUGGCUCAAAGUCUAGCAAGCAUGUAUAUAUGGCUGUGGUAGGAAUUUAAACUCUCAUCAUACAGGAACUCAUCAUGCAACAUUUUAAAAGAUUUUCAAAGAUAAAAUUCUCCAGAAUUCUAUCAUCUCUAUGAACAGAUAAGCAGCAGCUCAACCUUCCCAUAUCGUAUCCGUUAACUACUUAGACUUCAGAUCAAAUUUUCAUCCCAUAAGUUUAGGUCUAGAGCAAGCUUUAAAUUAUAACAGUUAUAUCUAAUCUUGAGAGAGAACUUAAAAUGUGCAAAUUAGGCAGAGCAACUAUUCAUCAUAUCCAUGCUUAAGUUUUAUUUAGAUACAGAUUAGCAUAGCCACUUUAUUUAUUUAUUAAACACACUAAGCAAAAGGCAAAUAUAUAAGCACAAAAUCUUUAUUUGGUUUUUCAUAGUUAUGUAUAUUUAAUAUUCUAAAAUAAUAUAAGUAUAAAGAUAGAUAGAUAGAAAUACUUAUCGAGAUAAAUGGGGGUGCUCUCCCCAAAGCUGAAUUUUGACGUAAUUUCUCUUGAUGUAGCUAGCAGGUGGCAGAGGUGUAUUUGAAAGUCAGCAGCAUUCUGACAGCGAUUAGAAUGUCCUCCGUCUACUAGUCUUCUUGACUCUUAAAUUAUGUGGAGCUCAAAUAGACAACAAAGCUUGUGGAACUGAUUAAGUGUUAGCAUAAAUAUCUAGCCUUUAUCAUGUUGAGACUCCUUAAUAAUUAUUACUCCCUGUUUUUAUAUUUUCAUUUUAUAAAGCAGAAAUGAAAUAUUUAUUUUAUUUUUAUGCCACCACAGUGAAUAUAGUUAUGGGUUUUAUGCCACUCGUAUACUCACAUGGGGCUUACUGUUUUUUUAUAUUUUAUUUUCUUUUUAAGAUAGUACGAACAUGAUUAACUAAGUAAACUAUUUUAAAUAAUUGAAAUAAUUGAAAGGGAAAGGAUAACUACCAAGUUUACCUCUUGGCAAGGCGUUCGGUGUUUUUAAGUCCUCCGAACGGGACUCUCCAUUUUCUUAAUCAUCCUGAGGUUCGUUGGGUGGCGUAGUCGGUACUUCCGGCAGCGCCUCCUCUUCUUGUAUAGUUAUCUUCAUUUUCCAUACCUGACUCGGUGCUUCAAUCUCCUCUGGAUAAUUCUGUUUAAACUCAACAUCUUCUGACUUUACAACUUCUCCUUCAUAGUCUGCCCACCCGUCCUUGAUGAUCUGCCUCCUCUGGUUGCGGUUGCGUCUCUUUCUGACCUACUUAGAUUCCUCAACGAUAUAGUCAGGGCCAGUAAAAUAACAGUGUACCUUCUCUGAGGGGAAGUGCAUAUGGACUUCUCCGGUUCCAAUGUAGAUAAUUGCUUUAACGGUGCUGAGGAACGGUCUUCCAAGAAUGAUGGGUGGAUCGUACUCAUCUUCUCCCAUGUCAAUAACCUGAAAGUCUGUGUAGACAAAGUGAUCGUCUAUUUUGACUGGGACAUCAGUUACUAUUCCUUUAACUUCUCGAAAUGUCUGAUCUGCCAUCUGGAGCUGAAUGUAUGUUGGUCUUAGUGGCAUGGUCCCGAACAAGAGCCGAUAGGUGACUGCGGCUAUUAUGUUGACGCCCGAUCCGGUGUCACAAAAUGCCUUGUAGAAGUUGUAUCCAUUUAUGGAGCAGUAAAUGUUUGGCAUUCCUGGGUUGUCCUUCUUGGUCAAAAGCGGUGACUUAAGUUGGUGAUCUUGGCCUCCAUGAACUACAGUGACCAUCUUAGCUGACUCGGUCUACACUUGCUUGUUCCUGUUCCUCCUGUUGGUCCUCUUCCUUGAUUCACGUCUAGAUUGAUCUGGAAUUUGUGUAGUCUUGUUCUUGAAGAAAAAUGUCUCCUUCGUCCCUUUGACGUAGAAACUGAUCUUGGCAGCACUGGCGUAGAUGAUAGCUCCCGUGGUGUUCAAGAAUGGCCUCCCUAAGAUGAUGGGUGCUCUCUCAUCAUUUCCGGUCUCUACCACUACGAAGUCUACUGGGGCAUAUAAGGUACCAACUAGGACACAAAGGUUCUUCACUAUUCCUUUUGGAAAAGUUAUCGUCUGAUCUGCAAACUGCAAACACAUGGUUGUUUCUAAUAAAGGAUAUGUAAAGAUUUUUUCAUAGAGUACCCUGGGUAUAAUGUUGACACUGGAGCCAAAGUCGCAGAGUGCUUCUGGAACGUCCACCAUGCCGAUAGAGAUCGGGAUGACGGGGCGUCCUGGAUCGCCUCUCUUGACCGGCAGAAGGUCAGUAGAGAAUUCAUUGACGGGGUUACUCCAAUUACCUGCAUCAAACGUGUCUACAAGAUUUGCAGAUUCUAAUCCUUCCGGUUCUGAUGGUAUUCCGGGGUUAGUAGUAGGAACAGCAGCAGCUAUUUGAUUUAACUGAGAUUCAAUCAUUUUAUUAAAGCUAAUUUGAUUCUUGAUGGCAGUAGAUAAAUUAUCCAUUCUAUUAUUUAUAUUUUCUAGCAUUUUAUCAUUAGAUGCCAAUUUCUUAGAUAGGUUAUCCAUUAGCUUUCCUUGAUUAGACACUAACUCUCUCAAAGGUGGAAAAUUAUUAGCAUUAUUGUUGUAAGAAUUGUUACCUUGAUAAUUACCUGAGUAGUUAGGCCUCUGUUGAUUCCAACCUUGAUUUUGUUGAGGACGGUUGUAGUAGUUGUUGUUGUUGUUGCUGAUGUAGUUCACAUCCUCAAGUAUCUCAGGGCAGUGGUUGCCUGAGUGUCCAGUGUCUCCACACUCCUCACAAGUCAUGUGAGAGUCGUAGAUGUGCAUAACUUCUUUCUUGUCUCCAGCUCUAUCGUCGAGCUUCUUCAUGAGCAGGUCUAGCUUUGCAGACAGCAUGUCUACCUCUUUCAGCUGAUGCAUACCUCCACCUCUCUUGCGUGUCUGGGUCCACUCUUCAUUCCAGCUUUGAUUGCACGCCAUCUUCUCCACAAGAGCUGUGGCUUGUGGUAUAGUAAGUGAUAAGAAUGCUCCUCCAGCUGCAGCAUCCAUGGUCUCUCGGGCACUGUUGCCGAGCCCAUGAUAAAACGUCUGCAUCAAUAGCCAACUCUCCAUUCCAUGAUGGGAACAUUCUAGGAUGUAGUCUUGAAAGCGCUCCCAUGCUUCUGGAAUAGAUUCAUCAUUUUGUUGCUGAAAACUUGUAAUCUUCCCACGGAGAGCAUUGGUCUUGCCUAUGGGAAAGAACUUAGCCAGGAAGUUUGUUGAGCAGAGUGCCCACGUAGUAUUGUUCUCCUUUGUAGCGUAGAACCACUGCUUCGCUCUUCCUAACAAUGAGAAUGGGAAGAGGCAAAGUAGUAUAGCAUCUUUGGAAACUCCUGAUAUGGUGAAUGUGUUGCAAAUCUCCAGGAAGUGUUGUAAAUGAGCACUAGCAUCUUCGUGUGCCUUCCCACAGAACUGGUUGGAUUGCACCAUGUUGAUAAGUCCAGGCUUGAGCUCAAAGUUGCCAUCGAUCUCUGCAGCAGGUCCAGUGCGGAUGUUGUCCGUAGUGGGAGCUGAGAACUCGCGGAUUGAUUUGUUUGCCAUGGCUUCGAACUCUGAAGACAAGUUCCGAUGAUCUUCUUGAUUGGAUGAAGCUUCUUGCUGAAGUGUUGAUGAUUUCUUUAGCUUGGCUCUCGUCUUCUUGAAUAAUGCUUCGGGAUUGUCAACAAAAUUUCCUGGAAGAUGUCUUCUAUUCAUACAUUCCCCUGCAUAAGAUGAAAUAGGAAAAUAUCGGGGUAAAACUGUAUGAGAGAAUAGAUAAGCUCAAUCAUAUUAGUGAUGCGAAUGAUAACUCAAAAUCUUUUAUUCCAUUCCUGAUUAGUAAUCAACCUUCCCCGGCAACGGCGCCAAAAAUGCUUGUUGGGUAUUCUUAACAUCAUUACCAAAAGUAGACUAAGUUCUCUAAAUCUAGUAACGGUGCAAAAAAUGCCAAACCUAUCCCUCACACCACUUAAGCCAAGUUGUCAUCCCCAGCAUGAUAUAAGAGACGCGGUAUUGAAAUAUGCAAUUGCUCUUCUAAAUAAAUAAUGAAUGGGAUCUGCAAGCGCACAGAUUAAUACCGAUGCAGCAUUUUAACCGGGAAGUAUUCCAGGUAUCGUUAUUUAUAUUUUUACCACUGGGAAGGGAUUAACAAUCAUCAAUAGUGAUUACAGAAUAGAAUAUGAGAUUGAGCAUCUAUCAUUGCAUGUAUAAUUGAGAACAUUAUAUCUAACUUUUCAUACAGGGAUAAGUGUCACAUAAAGGAUAUAUGAAAUAAUAAUAGUGACAAGGAUAACUAAUAUGAUCUAGCCACAUAAUAAAUAUGAUAAGCACCUCAAUUAGAUACUCUAGAAAGUCAUUAGCAUGGUAUUAGAACGAACUACAAGAAUAUUCCCUAAGUUAUUCUCAACUAUAUAGUCUAGCAUAUCAUAGUUAGUGCAAGCAUACUGUUGACGGUCCUUAAGUAUCAAAUUUAACUAUCAAAUAAACAAAGAAAAGGAUCCAAAUGAAAUCAACAUCGAGACUUAGGGUUUUAUCUAACAGAAUUCCACGAGUUUUGGUGUUUGUCUAUUUCUGCAGGGGGUUAUCAGGAAAUAAGGAAGAAAGGCCCACACGUCGGGAUUACAUAGAGAUAUCAACGUGCCGCACAAUUAUCUUACAUCUAGAAGACUCCAGAAGCCACGGGAAGGAAGCGGAGACCGAACGGAGUCAGGGACAGGGCGCCCGCCCAAGUCCUUAGGGCGCCCACCCACCUUUUUCGGCCAAUCACGCUCAAUCUCGUGGAUUAUGCUCCACCGACCUAAAGGAUCAAGAAUAACCGUUCAAUCAAUGUCGGUUUGAUCCGACGGCCCAGGUUCACUUGAGGAGACUAUAAAACCAGACCCCCUGGCCCCUGGAGGAGGCACCCCUUGAUCAUUAUUCAUUAUUCAUAGACAGAGCAAAAGCUAGGGUUUAGAGAUGAGAGCUCUCCUCUCUUCUCUAAACUAGAGUAGAUCUAGAUAGUAGCGAGAUGGAGAGCGAAGGAGGAUUAGAGGAGAGGCCGGCCUGUCGGUUCUUCCUCCGGUUGUACUUCGCCAUGAUCAAGCUCUAAUCAAGCUUGCUCAUGGGAUGACUCUGGUAAUCUACUUCUAAUUCAUUAUGCAAUUACUAAUCAUGUAUGUUCUGGUUCACAACUCUUUUGAGUACUUCUAAUCUAUAGGACCCUAUAGGUUAGAGUUGUAGUAUAGGUGUAAGCGUGGUGCUUAGACCUAGAUUACUUGUGGAUAUCCCCUGACUAGCUGGAUCGUGUGGUAGGCCGCGUAGGUGACAGUUACGUUGGUCCCCUGUAGUCCACCUCUCGUUAGCAGGACGGGUAGGGUUUAUCGGCCUAUGGAUAAGCAUCCUUUGUGGUGUACUCUUAUCACGUGGUUCGUCCCAGACAUAGACAUACCCCUUUGAAGUAGAGAAACCAUAGUAAUCCUGUCUAUUCUGCUACCAUCGCCCAUAUACUAGAAUUGCUCUACUCUCUAUUCCCAUAUUAUCACUCACUUUUAUCUUACCUUUAAUAUUGUUCUUAUUCGAUUCUACCAUCUUUCCUAUUCACACCUAUUUAAUUAUCUUGGUUAAGUUAGAGCGUAGAUCAGUUCUCCCGUUUCCCUGUGGAUACGAUAAAACCUUUAACUGGGUAAAAGCUUCUACGGUAUCCGUGCGCUUGCGGAUUAUCUGUGUGCGUAUAAAUACCAUAGUACACUCUAGUGCCACGCUGGGGAUGACAACCUAGUAUUCAAGUGGUGUUAGCAAGUGUCAACAAGCAUUUUUGGCGCCGUUGCCGGGGAAACGGUUGCUGAGUUGACUACGAACUAGUUUAAUCAUUUUAUAAAAAAUAAAUAAAUAAAAAAAUAUUUUCCUUUUAUCCUUUGCGUCAUCUCUGCUAUUCUUUCUUCUUAUCUAAUCCUUGAUCUCUGGUCUAUUAUGAAUUCAAACAUGUCUAUCUAUGAAUUUCAUAGACCUAUGGGCACACAUCUCGAACCACCAAAAUCUUCAAAGCCUAUCAUAGCAUCCAGUUUUGAGAUAGACCCCGAAUACAUAGAAUUUAUUCAAAAACAACCUUUCUCGGGAAAAGGUGAGGAAAACCCAUACACACACCUAAGAGAGUUUUAUCGAGUCUGUGACCUCCUUCGCAUAGAAGGCAUGUCCGAUGAGACCCUUAAAUGGAAGCUCUUUCCGUUCUCUUUAACGGGAAAAGCUAGACAUUGGUAUAAACUCAAAGUAGGGAGUGUUCAUGG
RNAcentral lists this long non-coding RNA (19061 nucleotides) under Sorghum bicolor (sorghum). Its description in RNAcentral is "long non-coding RNA (SBIC_LNC010867)". The stretch from base 9252 to 9358 matches the Rfam family "Plant small nucleolar RNA R71". Lineage: Eukaryota; Viridiplantae; Streptophyta; Magnoliopsida; Poales; Poaceae. The record is from RNAcentral.